This 1521-nucleotide ribosomal RNA is filed under the name metagenome. RNAcentral describes it as "bacterial SSU rRNA". It matches the Rfam family "Bacterial small subunit ribosomal RNA". The record is from RNAcentral.
GAGUUUGAUCAUGGCUCAGAUUGAACGCUGGCGGCAGGCCUAACACAUGCAAGUCGAACGGUAACAGGAAACAGCUUGCUGUUUCGCUGACGAGUGGCGGACGGGUGAGUAAUGUCUGGGAAACUGCCUGAUGGAGGGGGAUAACUACUGGAAACGGUAGCUAAUACCGCAUAACGUCGCAAGACCAAAGAGGGGGACCUUCGGGCCUCUUGCCAUCAGAUGUGCCCAGAUGGGAUUAGCUAGUAGGUGGGGUAACGGCUCACCUAGGCGACGAUCCCUAGCUGGUCUGAGAGGAUGACCAGCCACACUGGAACUGAGACACGGUCCAGACUCCUACGGGAGGCAGCAGUGGGGAAUAUUGCACAAUGGGCGCAAGCCUGAUGCAGCCAUGCCGCGUGUAUGAAGAAGGCCUUCGGGUUGUAAAGUACUUUCAGCGGGGAGGAAGGGAGUAAAGUUAAUACCUUUGCUCAUUGACGUUACCCGCAGAAGAAGCACCGGCUAACUCCGUGCCAGCAGCCGCGGUGAUACGGAGGGUGCAAGCGUUAAUCGGAAUUACUGGGCGUAAAGCGCACGCAGGCGGUUUGUUAAGUCAGAUGUGAAAUCCCCGGGCUCAACCUGGGAACUGCAUCUGAUACUGGCAAGCUUGAGUCUCGUAGAGGGGGGUAGAAUUCCAGGUGUAGCGGUGAAAUGCGUAGAGAUCUGGAGGAAUACCGGUGGCGAAGGCGGCCCCCUGGACGAAGACUGACGCUCAGGUGCGAAAGCGUGGGGAGCAAACAGGAUUAGAUACCCUGGUAGUCCACGCCGUAAACGAUGUCGACUUGGAGGUUGUGCCCUUGAGGCGUGGCUUCCGGAGCUAACGCGUUUAGUCGACCGCCUGGGGAGUACGGCCGCAAGGUUAAAACUCAAAUGAAUUGACGGGGGCCCGCACAAGCGGUGGAGCAUGUGGUUUAAUUCGAUGCAACGCGAAGAACCUUACCUGGUCUUGACAUCCACGGAAGUUUUCAGAGAUGAGAAUGUGCCUUCGGGAACCGUGAGACAGGUGCUGCAUGACUGUCGUCAGCUCGUGUUGUGAAAUGUUGGGUUAAGUCCCGCAACGAGCGCAACCCUUAUCCUUUGUUGCCAGCGGUCCGGCCGGGAACUCAAAGGAGACUGCCAGUGAUAAACUGGAGGAAGGUGGGGAUGACGUCAAGUCAUCAUGGCCCUUACGACCAGGGCUACACACGUGCUACAAUGGCGCAUACAAAGAGAAGCGACCUCGCGAGAGCAAGCGGACCUCAUAAAGUGCGUCGUAGUCCGGAUUGGAGUCUGCAACUCGACUCCAUGAAGUCGGAAUCGCUAGUAAUCGUGGAUCAGAAUGCCACGGUGAAUACGUUCCCGGGCCUUGUACACACCGCCCGUCACACCAUGGGAGUGGGUUGCAAAAGAAGUAGGUAGCUUAACCUUCGGGAGGGCGCUUACCACUUUGUGAUUCAUGACUGGGGUGAAGUCGUAACAAGGUAACCGUAGGGGAACCUGCGGUUG